Molecule: ribosomal RNA, 253 nt
Filed under: uncultured bacterium
Lineage: Bacteria
Description: partial 16S ribosomal RNA
Rfam family: Bacterial small subunit ribosomal RNA
Source: RNAcentral
UACGAAGGGGGCUAGCGUUGCUCGGAAUUACUGGGCGUAAAGGGCGCGUAGGCGGACAGUUUAGUCAGGGGUGAAAUCCCGGGGCUCAACCUCGGAACUGCCUUUGAUACUGCGGGUCUUGAGUCCGAUAGAGGUGGGUGGAAUUCCUAGUGUAGAGGUGAAAUUCGUAGAUAUUAGGAAGAACACCGGUGGCGAAGGCGGCCCACUGGAUCGGUACUGACGCUGAGGUGCGAAAGCGUGGGGAGCAAACAGG